Molecule: long non-coding RNA, 1562 nt
Filed under: Marmota monax (woodchuck)
Lineage: Eukaryota; Metazoa; Chordata; Mammalia; Rodentia; Sciuridae
Rfam family: tRNA (bases 157-225)
Source: RNAcentral
GAAAUCUGUCCAUGUGCACACAAAUUGCUCUCAUUCAUUCAUUUGAAUUGCCAUAUAGUAGUACCCUGGAGCUUAUUCUGAAGAAAGUCCAUUCUUUUCAUGGUGGUCAUUCAGAUUAUUUGUAAGUUUUUACUUUAUAAAUCAUGCUGCAGGGCUGGGGUUGUGGCUCAGAGGUAGAGCGCUUGCCUAGCAUGCGUGAGGCACUGAGUUUGAUCCUCAGCACCACAUAAAGUAAAAUGAAGACAUUGUGUCCACCUAUAACUAAAAAAAAAUAAUAAUUUUAAAAAAUAAAAAAAUCGUGCUGCAGUAAACAUUCCUCUACAAGUCUCUUCAUAGAUGUAAAAUAUUUAAGAGGAAACAAAAGUGAGAUUUCUAGGUUGUAUGUACGUACAUCUAUUUGGUAUUGCCAAUUGGUUCCUCAAAAUUAUUAUUCAAAUUUAUACUCCCAUUAGAAGUAUAAUUUAUUUUUCUAAUCUAUAUUAGAUUUAAUUUUUUUUUGCCUAUUUGAUGAAUGAGAGGUCUUACCAUUUUGGGUUUAAUUUUACUUUGCCUGGUUAAUGAGGUUGAACAUAUUUUCAUGCAUUUAUUGGUCAUUUGAGCCUCCUGUUCUGUUAAUUGUCUAAAUUUCUCAUUUUUCUGUUAAAAAUAUUUAUCUUUUUAAUUAUGAGAGUCCUUUAUAAGUUCUGGAUACUAAUUUUUUUAUUGUUUGUGUAUUUGAUUUAUACAUUCAUUCACUCAAAUAAUUUGUUGUGCUUCUAUUAUCUGCCAGGCACUGAUUUUGAUCCUGUAGACACAGCAAUUUACACAAAAUAAACAGACCAAAAAAAUCCCUUCCUGUUUAUACAUUCUUCAAUCUAAUUGAAGUGAAAGAGCCUACACAAAUAGAAAUACAAUAUGAGAAAUAAAUUAUAUGAAGGAAAAACAGGUUAAAGGCAGUUGUGAGUGGUAAAUAGGAAAGUUCCCUCUGAAGCGGUAACAUUUGUGCAGAGGCCUGAAUGUAGUGAGAGAAUUACCUUUACUGAGGCUGAAGGCUCCUGGACGGAAGGAAUAGCAAGUUUCAGGACAACAGUUAGGACCAUGUUCGACAUAUUUGAAGAACAGCAAGGUCAGUGUGGCUCUCAACUAGUGAUAGGAGGUGAAUUGGAGAGAAAGUUUGCAUAAGGCCAUGGUAAGGACUUGGGAAUUUUAAGUGCAAUGGGAAGUCCUUGGAGAUUUUUGGCAGAGUGAUGAGAUCUGUCAUACAUUUUAGAAGGAUCACUCAGACCGUCAGUGGAAAAUAUAUAGUGAGGCAAGCCUAGAAACAAAGCAAGAGAAGUAUAGGUAGUGCUUUGGAUUAGGAUAGUGGCAACUGAAGUCAUGAGAUGUGAUUCAGAAUAUAUUUUAUAGCAGAGAAAAGAUUUUCUGAUCAGAGAAGAGGGUGAGAGUGAAACAGAAAUCUAGAUCAACUACAAGGUUUUAGAUCUAAAUAGUUGAGUGAAUAUUGUCCCUGCAUAUAUUCAUUAUUUCACUGAUUCAAAGACACACAUGUGUUCUCUGAAAUUAGAAGGCAGUUUACAAAUGAU